UACGUAGGGGGCAAGCGUUGUCCGGAAUCAUUGGGCGUAAAGCGCGUGUAGGCGGCUCGAUAAGUCUGCUGUGAAAGUCCAGGGCUCAACCCUGGGAUGCCGGUGAAUACUGUCGAGCUCGAGUCCGGAAGAGGCGAGUGGAAUUCCUGGUGCAGCGGUGAAAUGCGCAGAUAUCAGGAGGAACACCAAUGGCGAAGGCAGCUCGCUGGGACGGUACUGACGCUGAGGAGCGAAAGCCAGGGGAGCAAACGGG
RNAcentral lists this ribosomal RNA (253 nucleotides) under uncultured bacterium. RNAcentral describes it as "partial 16S ribosomal RNA". It matches the Rfam family "Bacterial small subunit ribosomal RNA", at positions 524 to 776 of the family's 1533-position model. The record is from RNAcentral.